Molecule: ribosomal RNA, 326 nt
Filed under: uncultured eukaryote
Lineage: Eukaryota
Description: partial 18S ribosomal RNA
Rfam family: Eukaryotic small subunit ribosomal RNA
Source: RNAcentral
CCCUUAGAUGUUCUGGGCCGCACGCGCGCUACACUGAUGCAUUCAACGAGUCCAACCUUGACCGAGAGGUCCGGGUAAUCUUUGAAACUGCAUCGUGAUGGGGCUAGAUUAUUGCAAUUAUUAAUCUUCAACGAGGAAUGCCUAGUAAGCGUGAUUCAUCAAAUCGCGUUGAUUACGUCCCUGCCCUUUGUACACACCGCCCGUCGCUCCUACCGAUUGAGUGUGUUGGUGAGGAGUUUGGAUUGGCCUCGGAAGGUGGUUCGCCACCGUCCGUAGCUGAGAAGUUCUCCAAACCGCCCCACUUAGAGGAAGGAGAAGUCGUANCA